AAAAUGCGAUAGUUCAAACGAACUGCAAUUUCUGUGAAUCAUGAGAUUUUGAAUGUAACUUACGCUUUUGAUACUUGUGUCAAAAGUUAUUUUGUUGGAGGGAAACAAAUUUAUCUAAGCGUAUUUAUAUACUUAUUUAAAUUAAGUUAAUCAAAGGUAAAAGCUCUCCUUUGAUUAUAUAUAAGAGUAAUAUAGAGCACCUUAAAAGGCUUUAUGUUUCAGUGUGUUUAGUGAAAUAAUGUAUGACUUUGAAUUAACAAGUCUUAUGUGAAUAUUCACUAGAAUUACCAUUUUUAACCUCCAAUCAAAAUAGAUUACUCGGUGAAUUUAA
Molecule: unclassified non-coding RNA, 331 nt
Filed under: uncultured fungus
Lineage: Eukaryota; Fungi
Description: sequence contains ITS1
Source: RNAcentral